AGUUAAUAAGCAAUUAAGCGUAUGUUUUGAAAACAUAAGAUAGAAGAUAAAAUCUUUUAUUAACUU
RNAcentral lists this transfer RNA (66 nucleotides) under Systolederus spicupennis. RNAcentral's name for it is "tRNA-Ser". It matches the Rfam family "tRNA". From Rfam's summary of the family: Transfer RNA (tRNA) molecules are approximately 80 nucleotides in length. Lineage: Eukaryota; Metazoa; Arthropoda; Insecta; Orthoptera; Tetrigidae. The record is from RNAcentral.